This 253-nucleotide ribosomal RNA is filed under the name uncultured bacterium. RNAcentral's name for it is "partial 16S ribosomal RNA". It matches the Rfam family "Bacterial small subunit ribosomal RNA", at positions 524 to 776 of the family's 1533-position model. The record is from RNAcentral.
UACGAAGGGUGCAAGCGUUACUCGGAAUUACUGGGCGUAAAGCGUGCGUAGGUGGUUUGUUAAGUCUGAUGUGAAAGCCCUGGGCUCAACCUGGGAACGGCAUUGGAAACUGGCUUACUAGAGUGCGGUAGAGGGGUGUGGAAUUCCCGGUGUGGCAGUGAAAUGCGUAGAUAUCAGGAGGAACACCGGUGGCGAAGGCGGCUUUCUGGACAGAUACCGACGCUGAGGCACGAAAGCUAGGGGAGCAAACAGG